AAACGGCUGCCAGUAGGAGAGGAAGAAGCAUUUCCGAGCAGAGAGGCCCCCGUGGGCUCUGCUGAAGUCUAGAAUCCCCCUUUCUCACCGCCAAGUGAAGAAGAGAAUCUGCGCUCAACCCAGGAUUUCUCUGUGAAGCCCUGGAUGUUCCUGAAACUAGCUCUUUAGACCAGGCUGGACUUGAACUCAGAAAUCUGCCUACCUCUGCCUCCAAGUGCUGGGACUAAAGCCACAGAAAUUGCAUUGAAACAACUAUGAGCCAAUCAGAACAGACAAAUAGAGAGCACUCCACUGGACAGCCACAAAACAAACAUUCUUCUUAUGCGUGUGUGUGCACCAUUCUCCAGGAAGCUUCCUAUACCGGACCAGAAGGUACAUCUUACCUUUCAAACACAUUAACUACUUCCCAGCUACAAUGUGGAGCACUGGAAAUCAAUGACAAGGAGAAUUGAAAGAAAUAUCGACAUUAAAUUCUGUAGAGUUCACACUCUUUGUUUUUAAAUAAGAUUUUUCCUGGGCUGGCUCCACACCCACCCUUCCCUCCAGCCACCUCCUGAACGUACGUACGCCACUUUUAUUUUUGGGACAGGUCUCACUGCAGUGCAGGCUGACCUUGAACUUGAACUGAUCCUCUUGCCUCAGGAUCUCUAGUGCUGGUCCUACAGGCAUGAACCAUCGUAUUCAAGUCCAAAUCUACAUUCUUAAGUGAUCAAUAAGCCAUCGAAUAAACCACGGGGCUAAUAAAGCUCUGAGACAAAUGAAAAUGAAGACAGAAUGUGCCAAAGCUUAUAGGACACAUCAAGCUCAUAUAUAUGUGUGUGUGUGUGUGUGUGUGUAUAUAUAUAUAUAUAUAUAUAUAUAUGUGUGUGUGUGUGUGUGUGUGUGUGUGUGUGUAUGUAUAUAUAUAUGCAUAUACAUACAUACACACAUAUGUGCAUAUACAUACCCCAAGUCAGUCGUCUAGCCAUAUAGCUUUAGAAACAAGAAAUAGAAAAGCAGUGUAACCUCCAAGCUAAAGGAAGAAAAGAAUGAAGGCUGGAGAGAAAUAGAGAACAGAAAACAGCAGAGAAAAUGAGCCAAUCCAAUGGUUGGUGCUUUGAGAAACUCAUGAAACUGACAUAUCAUUGGCUAGAUUAACUAAGAAAAGGAGAGAGGUCUCCACAGGGAAAGACCUCUGCUGCCAAACCUGACAGCCCGAGUUUGACCCCCAUAAUCCACACAGUGCAUGAAGAGAACUGACUUCUGCAUGCUGUCCUCUGACCUCCCCGGGAGAGUUGCGGCACAGGUGUGUCCAUACCCAUCCACACAAAAUAAAUCAAUAAAGGAC
This 1327-nucleotide long non-coding RNA is filed under the name Mus musculus (house mouse). Its description in RNAcentral is "predicted gene, 36200". The record is from RNAcentral. Lineage: Eukaryota; Metazoa; Chordata; Mammalia; Rodentia; Muridae.